CAGUAGCCGCGGUAAUACGUAGGUGGCAAGCGUUGUCCGGAAUGAUUGGGCGUAAAGGGCGCGCAGGCGGCUGUGUAAGUCUGUCUAGAAAGUGCGGGGCUAAACCCCGUGAGAGGAUGGAAACUGGACAGCUGAGAGUGUCGGAGAGGAAAGCGGAAUUCCUAGUGUAGCGGUGAAAUGCGUAGAUAUUAGGAGGAACACCGGUGGCGAAAGCGGCUUUCUGGACGACAACUGACGCUGAGGCGCGAAAGCGUGGGGAGCAAACAGGAUUAGAGACCCCGGUAGUCCCUGUCUCUUAUAC
Molecule: ribosomal RNA, 301 nt
Filed under: uncultured bacterium
Lineage: Bacteria
Description: partial 16S ribosomal RNA
Rfam family: Bacterial small subunit ribosomal RNA
Source: RNAcentral